AUACGUAAUGUGAAUUGCAGAAUUCAGUGAAUCAUCGAGUCUUUGAACGCACAUUGCGCCCCCUGGUAUUCCGGGGGGCAUGCCUGUUCGAGCGUCAUUUCACCACUCAAGCCUCGCUUGGUAUUGGGCAACGCGGUCCGCCGCGUGCCUCAAAUCGACCGGCUGGGUCUUCUGUCCCCUAAGCGUUGUGGAGACUAUUCGCUAAAGGGUGCUCGGGAGGCUACGCCGUAAAACAAACCCAUUUCUAAGGUUGACCUCGGAUCAGGUAGGGAUACCCGCUGAACUUAAGCAUAUCAAUAAGCGGAGGAAA
Molecule: ribosomal RNA, 310 nt
Filed under: uncultured Davidiellaceae
Lineage: Eukaryota; Fungi; Ascomycota; Dothideomycetes; Cladosporiales; Cladosporiaceae
Description: eukaryotic LSU rRNA
Rfam family: 5.8S ribosomal RNA (bases 1-97)
Source: RNAcentral